RNAcentral lists this ribosomal RNA (164 nucleotides) under uncultured soil bacterium. RNAcentral's name for it is "partial 16S ribosomal RNA". It matches the Rfam family "Bacterial small subunit ribosomal RNA", at positions 26 to 212 of the family's 1533-position model. The record is from RNAcentral.
AGAACGAACGCUGGCGGCAGGCUUAACACAUGCAAGUCGAACGGUUGUAGCGAUACAGCAGUGGCAGACGGGUGAGUAACACGUGGGAACCCCUCCUAGGGGUACGGAACAACUCAGGGAAACUUGAGCUAAUACCGUAUACGUCCGUGAGGAGAAAGAUUUAU